RNAcentral lists this ribosomal RNA (231 nucleotides) under uncultured bacterium. RNAcentral describes it as "partial 16S ribosomal RNA". It matches the Rfam family "Bacterial small subunit ribosomal RNA", at positions 103 to 334 of the family's 1533-position model. The record is from RNAcentral.
CGGGUGAGUAACACGUAUCCAACCUGCCGUCUACUCUUGGACAGCCUUCUGAAAGGAAGAUUAAUACAAGAUGGCAUCAUGAGUCCGCAUGUUCACAUGAUUAAAGGUAUUCCGGUAGACGAUGGGGAUGCGUUCCAUUAGGUUGUUGGUGAGGUAACGGCUCACCAAGCCUUCGAUGGAUAGGGGUUCUGAGAGGAAGGUCCCCCACAUUGGAACUGAGACACGGUCCAA